AUCUUCCUCCCGUCAAGAGGUAGGCUUUCCUCCCCAUACACGCCUCCUCUCUUGUCUCUCUCUCUCUUUCGUUUUUCCUCCUAUCAACUAGGGUUGUGGCAGCCGCCGCCGCCCCAUCGCCCCUCUGGCGCUGCCCACCGGAGAAAGGCCUGCCUCGAGCCCCCCACCCCUUCCUCCUUUCCUCUCCCAUGACACGCAACCUCUCAUUCCUCUUCUUCCCCUGAUCUGGUCGUUCCAAUUCUUGGCAAUCGGGAGGAGGCAGCCAGUGGAUGGGAAGGCCGGGCGGAAGAGAAGGAUGAGGGGACGCGGCUGCGAGUACGCCACCAGCCGUGCGGAUUGGAUGGGAAGAGAAGUCGGCGGCGGUGGCGGUUUCGAUCUCUGAUCUGCCACCAGCGCCGCCGCAGGGACGGGUGAAAGCAUCUGAGAUGGCUGCAGGGGCGGCGCGGGCCCGGGCUCGGGCAGCCACCAUGGCGUCGAAUGCACCGGUGGGGGCCUCUUCCUCGUAGCAAGGCGUGGCCCUGCUCUUCCCCAUAGCGCUGAUGACAAGGCGGGCGGCGCCGCGAGCUCUCGUCCCGAGGAAGCCGCGGGAGGACGAGGUCAAGACGGACCAGGUCGACGUGCCCCCCUGCCACACCCCUUCUUCUCCUACGGGUUGGUUGCUGCUGUUGCUGGUGUCGGUCGUGUCCGAUUCGAUCGGCCUGUGGUUUCCUGUUGUUGCGGCAGGUUGCAAGAUUUGUUGGAACUAAUUUUGAGAAGACUGAAUCUACCACGUAUCCAAAUGGAGCGGUUGCAAUCGUUAUAUACCUGGAAUGAUGCUUUUAUAUGUCUGAAUUUUCACAAGUAUUUCUAAACUUGGCCCUAGCGAAGUGGCAAGUGUACUGCAGUAGUUAGCCUACUACUUCAGUUAUAUGCACCUGUGAUGAAUUGGGUACAUCCAAACUUCUCCUGUGAUAUCUUUAUUUUCUUUUUCGGUUUAUAAGGUAGUGAAGCCUCAGUUAAUCUGCAAAGUGUGCUAUGUUCUUGUUUGUUGCUGGCCUCUAUCUGUUUGUUGGUAUGCGUUUGCAAACUGAAAAUAUUCGUGUUUUUCAGGUCUCUGUUAGAGGAAUGUAUUUUCUUGCAAACUAAAUUGGUUUUCUGGAACAUGUCUUCAUAUUUUAGAUUUUAGUGUAUGGCUUCAGAACUAUUCAUUGGAUAUACUUGGUUGAUUCCAGCCCGUGGAUAAGAAUAUUCCAGUCACUGGAGAGAUUGUUGAACAUGUGACAUUGAUGCAAAUCUCUGGCCACCUACGGGUGAAACUGCUUGAAGACCAAGUUUGAAUAUGUACGAGGGCAGUGAAGUUCGGCAUGCGAGUUUACUUGCAGUCUCUAACCCUAAUGUAAUCAGUCCCAGUAGUGAGGGGAAGGCGCUGCCAACGAGGAUGUGGAGGAGAACAAGGUCGAGACGGAUCGGUGAAGGGUGUUGAGGCUGGCUCGCUGGCCGCAGCCUCUCUCCUCCUCGUCUUCGACAGUGUGAAGAAGAUUGAUGUUGAAAUGGACGCAUGCUGCAGGAGAAGCAGAGGCGUCUUGUGAGCCUUGGGUUCUUCAUCGAUCUGUUUGUGCGUGCUCUUGGUCGCAUGCACGCCUAAGCAAUCAACUGUUCACCGACCUGUCUAUUGUAUGCAUUAUGGUUGAGGAAAGCUUGAAAUACAAUAGUGGCAAACAUCUCCAUUGACGCUACAAAGCAUCUUGAUGAUUUUGAAGAUAGAUGGAUGGGAGGUGGGACACGAUUUUGUGCUCCUCCCCGCUCGAAAGGUGACGAGCUUCCAUCUCUAAUAUCUUUUGGCGGUACUUGUUAGGUUGAGAUCUGUGACGCCUAUGAAUAUUAUCAUUUUUAUUUAUUUCUAAUAUGGACACCUCUGUAUGCUCCAAGACUUAACUAUGUACUGUUGAUUUAUGGCAUGGUGAUUGGUGAUUGAUUUCGAUUGCACGGGAAUUCUGGGGAGAGCAGUGGAAAAUCUAUGGGGAACUUGUGUGUUAACGGUGCUAGCAGAGCAACGACUGGCUGCACUAUGGCAGACAGGGAUUCUCAAUGGACGAGACGCCGGCGACCGUUGGCUUGGUGCGUCGGACAUUGCUUGUUUAUUUGCUGAAUUUGGUUCACUUUAGCCAUGCAUCAGCUAUACAUGUAUGCGUGCUAUAAGGGAAUCAAUCAGCGCUAAAACCAUUGGAAAGGGCGGGAGUUUACCUGGCACCGCACAGCUGCCGUUUCAGGCGGCGCGCCGUGGGCGCGCC
Long non-coding RNA from Triticum aestivum (bread wheat), 2270 nucleotides. RefSeq lists it as uncharacterized. NCBI's taxonomy places the organism in Eukaryota, Viridiplantae, Streptophyta, Magnoliopsida, Poales, Poaceae. The record is from RefSeq and is a predicted model, not a curated record. The transcript has 7 exons.